CCUACGGGAGGCAGCAGUGAGGAAUAUUGGUCAAUGGGCGCGAGCCUGAACCAGCCAAGUAGCGUGAAGGAUGACUGCCCUACGGGUUGUAAACUUCUUUUAUAAAGGAAUAAAGUGAGGCACGUGUGCUUUUCUGUAUGUACUUUAUGAAUAAGGAUCGGCUAACUCCGUGCCAGCAGCCGCGGUAAUACGGAGGAUCCGAGCGUUAUCCGGAUUUAUUGGGUUUAAAGGGAGCGUAGAUGGGUUGUUAAGUCAGUUGUGAAAGUUUGCGGCUUAACCGUAAAAUUGCAAUUGAUACUGGUGGUCUUGAGAGCAGUUGAGGUAGGCGGAAUUCGUGGUGUAGCGGUGAAAUGCUUAGAUAUCAUGAAGAACUCCGAUUGCGAAGGCAGCUUACUAAUCUACCACUGACGUUGAGGCUCGAAAGUGUGGGGAGCAAACAGGAUUAGAUACCCCAGUAGUC
RNAcentral lists this ribosomal RNA (460 nucleotides) under uncultured bacterium. RNAcentral's name for it is "partial 16S ribosomal RNA". It matches the Rfam family "Bacterial small subunit ribosomal RNA", at positions 338 to 795 of the family's 1533-position model. The record is from RNAcentral.